GGCCCUACGGGGUGCAGCAGGCGAGAAAACUUUGCAAUGUGCGAAAGCCCGACAAGGUUAAUCUGAGUGGUUUCUGCUAAAGGAACCUUUUGUUAGUCCUAAAAACACUGAUGAAUAAGGGGUGGGCAAGUUCUGGUGUCAGCCGCCGCGGUAAAACCAGCACCUCAAGUGGUCAGGAUGAUUAUUGGGCCUAAAGCAUCCGUAGCCUGUUCUAUAAGUUUCCGGUUAAAUCCAUACGCUCAACGUAUGGGCUGUCGGAAAUACUGCAGAACUAGGGAGUGGGAGAGGUAGACGGUACUCGAUAGGAAGAGGUAAAAUUCUUUGAUCUAUUGAUGACCACCUGUGGCGAAGGCGGUCUACCAGAACACGUUCGACGGUGAGGGAUGAAAGCUGGGGGAGCAAACCGGAUUAGAUACCCGGGUAGUCCCAGCUGUAAACGAUGCAAACUAGGUGAUGCGUUGGCUUGUUGCUAGCGCAGUGCCUCAGGGAAGCCGUUAAGUUUGCCGCCUGGGAAGUACGUACGCAAGUAUGAAACUUAAAGGAAUUGGCGGGGGAGCAC
RNAcentral lists this ribosomal RNA (559 nucleotides) under uncultured Nitrosopumilales archaeon. RNAcentral describes it as "bacterial SSU rRNA". It matches the Rfam family "Archaeal small subunit ribosomal RNA", at positions 319 to 879 of the family's 1478-position model. The record is from RNAcentral. Lineage: Archaea; Thermoproteati; Nitrososphaerota; Nitrososphaeria; Nitrosopumilales.